UAGGGAACCAUCAGGCCAGUGCAGGUGAACUGAAUAACUAAAACCACUCGAGCAAUUCAAAAGAAGUAAAUAACGGGGAAAAUGAAUAUGAUAAUAAAAUUAUUUUAUCACAGCAUGAGAAUUAACACUACGACUUAAAGGUGAAAAUUACCAGGUUCAAAUGCAAGAAAAAACUGAACAUAGGCUGCAAAAAUAAUCAGAAAUCAGCAGAGUAAUUAACAGUCCUCAAUCACAGUGAAGAGUUCACUUACUUGGCAUCUGACUUGAACAAUUUUUAUAACAAACUCAUUCUAAUUGGUACCUGUAGAAUUCCAUUCCUAGCAACUUUAGAUCCUGGUUCUUCUUAUAUGCACAUGAAGUAUUCGUCAGUAGUUCACUUGGAGAAAUAAAGCAAAUAUUGACCAACUUCAAAGAACUGAAGUUACUUGGAGUAUGUUCUCUGACCAUGGAGAAAUCACUCAAAAUUGAAAAGAGGAAAGACGACUGGGAAAUUCUGAAAUAUUUUAUAUAAAAGCAGAAGUGGGUUCUCUAGAGUCCACCUUUAAAAUUAAAAUGUUAAGGAAAAUGUCACGUCUUGCAGUGUGUAGCU
This 589-nucleotide long non-coding RNA is filed under the name Marmota monax (woodchuck). Lineage: Eukaryota; Metazoa; Chordata; Mammalia; Rodentia; Sciuridae. The record is from RNAcentral.